GUGCAGUCGGCUGUGCCCCUCAUAUGUCAGGCAUGACCAUGGGUGUCAGGUGUGACCAAGGGAAUUAGGCAUGACCAUGCAUGUCAAGUGUGACAAAGGGAGUCAGGCGUGACUAUGCGUGUCAGGCAUGACCACACGUGUCAGGCAUGAACAUGCAUGGCAGGUGUGAUCAAGGGAAUCAGGCAUGACCAUGCAUGUCAGGCAAGACCAUGCGUGUCAGACACAACCAUGUGUGUCAGGCAUGACCAUGUGUGUCAGGCAUGACCAUGAGUGUCAGAUGUGACCAUGGGUGUCCAGCAUGGUCAUGCAUGUCAUGUAUGAACACGGGUGUCUGGCUGUGCUCAGCUGUCCCCAUCUCAUGGGGUGCACUUCCCCAGACCCCAGGCUCCCAGAGCCAGGACAGGUGUCUUUCCUGCACCACGAGGCACAGCCCUUGUGACGUCACACAGGCACAGCCCGUCCCUGGGAAACUGUGAAUUCUCUCCUGCUGGCACCUGAGCGCCAUGAGACCUGGGCUGGCUUGUGGGACAGAAGAAACCCGAUCCUGAACACGGAGCCUCAGACUCCUUCCUGAAACGUUGACAGCACUAAGCCCAUGGGUGAGAUGAAACUUUAUUCCAAAGGAGAGCCGCACAUCUGAGAAAAACCUGAAUAAAUCCCCAGCUGUGUUCACCAGGGCUCUCAGUGCCCACCUCGGCAUUCUGUGUCACUGUCUCAGUGCCUACCUGGGGCAUUCUGUGUCACUGCC
This is a long non-coding RNA of Bos taurus (domestic cattle), 748 nucleotides long. The record is from Ensembl. Lineage: Eukaryota; Metazoa; Chordata; Mammalia; Artiodactyla; Bovidae.